ACACGACUCUCGGCAACGGAUAUCUCGGCUCUCGCAUCGAUGAAGAACGUAGCGAAAUGCGAUACCUGGUGUGAAUUGCAGAAUCCCGUGAACCAUCGAGUCUUUGAACGCAAGUUGCGCCCGAGGCCAUCCGGCCGAGGGCACGCCUGCCUGGGCGUCACGC
This 163-nucleotide ribosomal RNA is filed under the name Oryza sativa (Asian cultivated rice). RNAcentral describes it as "5.8S ribosomal RNA". It matches the Rfam family "5.8S ribosomal RNA". Rfam says of the family: 5.8S ribosomal RNA (5.8S rRNA) is a component of the large subunit of the eukaryotic ribosome. It is transcribed by RNA polymerase I as part of the 45S precursor that also contains 18S and 28S rRNA. Lineage: Eukaryota; Viridiplantae; Streptophyta; Magnoliopsida; Poales; Poaceae. RNAcentral also lists the same sequence under 1 other name. The record is from RNAcentral.